RNAcentral lists this small nuclear RNA (19 nucleotides) under Arabidopsis thaliana (thale cress). RNAcentral describes it as "snRNA_13480". Lineage: Eukaryota; Viridiplantae; Streptophyta; Magnoliopsida; Brassicales; Brassicaceae. The record is from RNAcentral.
CCAAGUUCUUGGGAGUUCG